This 283-nucleotide ribosomal RNA is filed under the name Desmodesmus sp. M-004. RNAcentral's name for it is "partial small subunit ribosomal RNA". It matches the Rfam family "Eukaryotic small subunit ribosomal RNA", at positions 598 to 888 of the family's 1831-position model. The record is from RNAcentral. Lineage: Eukaryota; Viridiplantae; Chlorophyta; Chlorophyceae; Sphaeropleales; Scenedesmaceae.
CGUAUAUUUAAGUUGUUGCAGUUAAAAAGCUCGUAGUUGGAUUUCGGGUGGGUUUCAGCGGUCCGCCUAUGGUGAGCACUGCUGUGGCCUUCCUUACUGUCGGGGACCUGCUUCUGGGCUUCAUUGUCCGGGACAGGGAUUCGGCAUGGUUACUUUGAGUAAAUUAGAGUGUUCAAAGCAGGCUUACGCCGUGAAUACUUUAGCAUGGAAUAACAUGAUAGGACUCUGCCCUAUUCUGUUGGCCUGUAGGAGUGGAGUAAUGAUUAAGAGGAACAGUCGGGGG